RNAcentral lists this unclassified non-coding RNA (300 nucleotides) under uncultured fungus. Its description in RNAcentral is "sequence contains 5.8S rRNA gene, ITS2". The record is from RNAcentral. Lineage: Eukaryota; Fungi.
UCCUCCGCUUAUUGAUAUGCUUAAGUUCAGCGGGUAGUCCUACCUGAUUUGAGGUCAAAAUGUCAAGAGUUGUCCUGAAAGGACGGUUAUAAGCAGGUUCCCAUUAGUUUGCUUCAAAGUCAAGAUGGCAUAGAUAAUUAUCACACCAAGUGACGGUCCACAAGAGAUCCCACUAAUGCAUUUAAAGGGAGCAGACCAUCCACUGAAGGAAGCCAGCAAAGACCCUCACAUCCAAGCCUAACUCAAGCCGGUAAAAGCGAGCAAGGUUGAUAAUUUAAUGACACUCAAACAGGCAUGCCC